RNAcentral lists this ribosomal RNA (460 nucleotides) under uncultured bacterium. RNAcentral describes it as "partial 16S ribosomal RNA". It matches the Rfam family "Bacterial small subunit ribosomal RNA", at positions 338 to 795 of the family's 1533-position model. The record is from RNAcentral.
CCUACGGGAGGCAGCAGUGAGGAAUAUUGGUCAAUGGACGAGAGUCUGAACCAGCCAAGUAGCGUGAAGGAUGACUGCCCUAUGGGUUGUAAACUUCUUUUAUAAAGGAAUAAAACGAGGCACGUGUGCCUUUUUGCAUGUACUUUAUGAAUAAGGAUCGGCUAACUCCGUGCCAGCAGCCGCGGUAAUACGGAGGAUCCGAGCGUUAUCCGGAUUGAUUGGGUUUAACGGGAGCGUAGAUGGGUUGUUAAGUCAGUUGUGAAAGUUUGCGGCUCAACCGUAAAAUUGCAAUUGAUACUGGCAGUCUUGAGUACAGUUGAGGUAGGCGGAAUUCGUGGUGUAGCGGUGAAAUGCUUAGAUAUCACGAAGAACCCCGAUUGCGAAGGCAGCUUACUAAACUGUGACUGACAUUGAUGCUCGAAAGUGUGGGUAUCAAACAGGAUUAGAUACCCUUGUAGUC